GGACUUAACGAGGAACUAAGAUUUUCAUCCUCCAUCCAAAUAAAUAAAUAAAUAAAUAAUCUAUAGGUCCUUUGUUGCACCCAAAAUUAUUUUUAAGUUCCUGAACUUUUCAGAUGGAAUAAAAAAGUUUUUGGACUAAUCCAAAAUUAUUUUUAGAUCCCUGCCAUCAUCUGCUGCCGUUUAACUCCAUUUAAAUGAUCAAAUUGCCCUUAGAUGGUUAUGAUUAUACAGAUCCAUAUUCAGGUUACAUAGAUUUAUGCUCAAGUUACACAGGUUUAUAUUCAAGUUACACAAGUAUCUAUGUAAUAUGAACAUAAACAUGUGUAAUUUGAGCAUAAAUCUGUACAAUCUAAGCAUAGACUGAUAUAAUCAAUUGUC
RNAcentral lists this long non-coding RNA (378 nucleotides) under Elaeis guineensis (African oil palm). RNAcentral describes it as "long non-coding RNA (EGUI_LNC006877)". The record is from RNAcentral. Lineage: Eukaryota; Viridiplantae; Streptophyta; Magnoliopsida; Arecales; Arecaceae.